Clostridium tetani E88 is the source of this 224-nucleotide regulatory RNA element. It matches the Rfam family "T-box leader". From Rfam's summary of the family: Uncharged tRNA acts as the effector for transcription antitermination of genes in the T-box leader family. T-boxes are found upstream of many aminoacyl-tRNA synthetase genes and some amino acid biosynthetic genes usually in Gram-positive bacteria. The anticodon of a specific tRNA base pairs to a specifier sequence within the T-box motif, and the NCCA acceptor tail of the tRNA base pairs to a conserved bulge in the T-box antiterminator hairpin. Lineage: Bacteria; Bacillati; Bacillota; Clostridia; Eubacteriales; Clostridiaceae. The record is from Rfam.
UUAAAUGCUAUGAAAAGGAAGAGUACUUAAAAUAACCCUUGUAGAGAGUGAAAGUUUGGUGAAAUUUCACAGGUGGAAUCUUAAGGAAAAUCGCCUUGGAGUAGAUUGCUGAAAUUUUAGUAAGUAUAUCCGUAAUCCUGCGUUAAAGGAUAGAACAUGUUUGUGUUUGAGAAAGUUACACUAUUUUUAUAGGUGGUAUAGCGAAGAUAGACUUCGUCCUAUUU